RNAcentral lists this unclassified non-coding RNA (303 nucleotides) under uncultured fungus. Its description in RNAcentral is "partial contains 5.8S ribosomal RNA, internal transcribed spacer 2, and large subunit ribosomal RNA". Lineage: Eukaryota; Fungi. The record is from RNAcentral.
AACGCACCUUGCACUCUCUGGUAUUCCGGAGAGUAUGUCUGUUUGAGCGUCGUGAACACCUCAACCCCUCCGGUUUUUAAUUAAGCCUGGUUGUUUCGGGCUUGGACCAUGAGCACACUGUCUCUUUUCGCAAGAGACUUGCUCGAAAUACAAAUCGAGUCGUAUAUAUACUGCGGUUUGAAUCUUGGCGUGAUAAGACUACACUUUUCGCCUUGAUGGCGCGGUUACUACACUCUAGUGAUCACAAACUAGUCUUUUGAAUCAAUAGACCUCAAAUCAGAUAGGACUACCCGCUGAACUUAA